Molecule: ribosomal RNA, 446 nt
Filed under: uncultured bacterium
Lineage: Bacteria
Description: bacterial SSU rRNA
Rfam family: Bacterial small subunit ribosomal RNA
Source: RNAcentral
ACUCCUACGGGAGGCAGCAGUGGGGAAUAUUGGACAAUGGGCGCAAGCCUGAUCCAGCAAUGCCGCGUGAGUGAUGAAGGCCUUCGGGUCGUAAAGCUCUUUUACCCGGGUAUGAUAAUGACAGUACCGGGAGAAUAAGCUCCGGCUAACUCCGUGCCAGCAGCCGCGGUAAUACGGAGGAGCUAGCGUUGUUCGGAAUUACUGGGCGUAAAGCGCGCGUAGGCGGUUAUUCAAGUCAGAGGUGAAAGCCCGGGGCUCAACCCGGAACUGCCUUUGAAACUAGAUGACUAGAAUCUUGGAGAGGUCAGUGGAAUUCCGAGUGUAGAGGUGAAAUUCGUAGAUAUUCGGAAGAACACCAGUGGCGAAGGCGACUGACUGGACAAGUAUUGACGCUGAGGUGCGAAAGCGUGGGAGCAAACAGGAUUAGAUACCCUGGUAGGAUAGCG